Molecule: ribosomal RNA, 893 nt
Filed under: Teratosphaeria zuluensis
Lineage: Eukaryota; Fungi; Ascomycota; Dothideomycetes; Mycosphaerellales; Teratosphaeriaceae
Description: LSU rRNA
Rfam family: Eukaryotic large subunit ribosomal RNA
Source: RNAcentral
GCAUAUCAAUAAGCGGAGGAAAAGAAACCAACAGGGAUUGCCCUAGUAACGGCGAGUGAAGCGGCAACAGCUCAAAUUUGAAAUCUGGCGCAAGCCCGAGUUGUAAUUUGUAGAGGAUGCUUCAGGGCAGCGGCCGGUCUAAGUUCCUUGGAACAGGACGUCAUAGAGGGUGAGAAUCCCGUAUGCGACCGGUUGGCACCCGUCACGUAGCUCCUUCGACGAGUCGAGUUGUUUGGGAAUGCAGCUCUAAAUGGGAGGUAAAUUUCUUCUAAAGCUAAAUACCGGCCAGAGACCGAUAGCGCACAAGUAGAGUGAUCGAAAGAUGAAAAGCACUUUGGAAAGAGAGUUAAAAAGCACGUGAAAUUGUUGAAAGGGAAGCGCAUGCAACCAGACUUGUCGGCGGUGUUCCGCCGGUCUUCUGACCGGUCUACUCGCCGCCGGCAGGCCAGCAUCAUCUGGGCGCGCCGGAUAAAGGCGCGGGGAAUGUGGCUCCUCGGAGCGUUAUAGCCCCGCGCACAAUACGGCGCCGCUCGGGUGAGGUCCGCGCUUCGGCUAGGAUGCUGGCGUAAUGGUUGUCUGCGGCCCGUCUUGAAACACGGACCAAGGAGUCUAACAUCUAUGCGAGUGUUCGGGUGUCAAACCCCUACGCGUAAUGAAAGUGAACGGAGGUGGGAAGCGCAAGCUGCACCAUCGACCGAUCCUGAUGUCUUCGGAUGGAUUUGAGUAAGAGCAUAGCUGUUGGGACCCGAAAGAUGGUGAACUAUGCCUGAAUAGGGUGAAGCCAGAGGAAACUCUGGUGGAGGCUCGCAGCGGUUCUGACGUGCAAAUCGAUCGUCAAAUUUGGGUAUAGGGGCGAAAGACUAAUCGAACCAUCUAGUAGCUGGUUCCUGCGA